Gallus gallus (chicken) is the source of this 10007-nucleotide long non-coding RNA. RefSeq lists it as uncharacterized. NCBI's taxonomy places the organism in Eukaryota, Metazoa, Chordata, Aves, Galliformes, Phasianidae. The transcript has 3 exons. The record is from RefSeq and is a predicted model, not a curated record.
GUAAAUGGGGAGGUUGGUGGCCCUGCCCUGCAGGGGGGUUGGAGAUUCAUGAUCCUUGAGGUCCCUUCCAACCCAGGCCAUUCUGUGAUUCUGUGAUUCUGUGAUUCUGUGUGGUGAUGCUGCGGGGCUGGAAGCCUUCUGAGAAUCAACCAGGCUUUCGUUGCUUCUGCUCCAGGCUUUCUCCUUUCAGAAGCUUUGUCCAUCAGGGCCUGUGAUAGCAGGCCUCGAGGCCAUCGGCAUGAAGUGGUGUUGUUCAGCCUGAAGCAGUACCUGCUGUGGAUGUGCUGGCAGGGCCCAGAGUUCACCUGAGCAGUGAUGUCCCAGUUCUGGGUACUGGAGUCCUCACCACAAGCAGCAGCCAAUGGCUCUGAGCUGCAUGGCUGCACUCAGCCUGAAAAACCCAACCUGUGUGUGUGCAUCCAGGCUCCUCCCUCAUGUUCUCCUCUGUCCUUCCAGUACAAAACUGGCAGCUGCUCAAGGAACAGGUUCAGCAAACCAGGUGGAGAAAUGUAUGGCAUUUAUAUCAUCGCUAAGAGUGAAGAAGAUAGACAGAGCAUAUCAUGUAAGUGAGCAAAUAAACAACUUACGACAAGUAUGAUUGGAUCUUCAAUAUGGGCUGUGUCUGUGUUGAAAGCUAAGGAACACUAUUAUGUGUGGAUAAUAAUUUAGUUCCCCUUUAAGCUUGGGCAUACAUGUAUUUGUUUACACAAUUCAAGAAAUUUCAUGACUUGUCUUGACUAUAGGACCUCAGUGCAAAUGUAACAUAUGUCAGAAUGCUAAAAUCAAUAGCUGAUCUGAUCUCCAAACCAACAGAUCCAUUCUAGCAUCCCCAUUGUCUAUACUCUAAGGGCAAUAGGGCACUUUCCUGAAACUUUGCAUGGAACAACAGUUGGUGGCAGUGUCACCUGGGCCUAGCCUGGGCAGGAUACCUUUGGCUGGCAGCUGUUUUUCUUUCCCUUGUAAAAGCUCUGUUGUGUUUACUUCACUAAAGUUUAACUUGGCUAUGAUUUCAUGGCUACUGAAUUCACACUGCCCCCGGCCAACCCAUAGAAUAGCUAAUGACUCAAUAAAGAUGAGUGACAUCAUUAACCCAAUACAGUAACUAUUCAGAUACACACCGUGGUCUCCUUACAUAACCACCUAAUUUUAGCUGAUGAGUGAACAACAUACAGUACCACAGUGUAUUAUGAGCUCUGAAUAACUGUCAAAUAUCCAGAUGCUUUUUUCAAGGUUAUUUUAUUUUCCUGGUUUAAAACUGUUUCCUUACGCAAAUCUCAAGGUGUCAUUUUUCCUCCACCAAAUCCUCUUUUUGAAACAUGUUGAAGGCUUCUGCCACCCCUGAUCAUCUUGACACAUCAUUAGCUGGCCAUCAGAGCUGUAACAGUGCUCACAGCUCUCAUGUACGGACACAGGGCCUUGGGUUCUUUUAAUAGCUUCAAACUGCGAUACACAGGCAUCUCAAAUGGACACUCAACUUCACCCAUCAAGAGCACGGGGAGCCCAUCCACCAGCCCCACUGCUCAAGGGAAGACUUCCCCAAAACAGCUACUGCAACGGGGCCCUGCAAGCCUGAACUUCAGAGCUGAGGAUAACUACAAAUCGGCGCCUCAGGCUCCCAGUUCACCGGUUUCACCAAGGAGUAUAACACAGGAGAAUGUCAGAAUAACUUUGAGGCAAGCCUUUGCAUUCAAGGACACAGCAGACACUGUGUUGAUGCAGCAGGCAGAACUUCCCAUGCAAUGGAGCUGUGCUGGUGCUGCCUGGGCACCAACUCCAACAAGCACCAGGGAUCCAGGGGCUAAGCAAAGCUGGUUUGGCAAAUCAAUGAAUGAGGAAGAACUUUCCACCUUAUCACACAAAGACUUAUCAUAAAGGUCUGGAAAGCCCAGUAUCAGAAUUAUUUUUUCAUUACCAUAUAUUUCCUCGAAACUUCUAUGUAGCAGCUUACAUUAAAAAAAAAAAAAAAAAAAAAAAAAAAAAAAAGGCAAAAUGUUGAAAGGUGUUUUCACACAGGGAAAAGCUUCCAGUACAAAAAUUUCCUAACUAGAGGAAGGAAGAAAAAGACGAAAAGUCUCUCAUCUUCCUGAAACUUCCCUUGAAAGCAACAGAAUUUUAAGGAUGGAAAGUGCAGCAAUCAUGAGUACGGAGGGUACGUGGCUCUUUUUAGACAGAGCUGUCUUUCUGGGAGUAAAGCUAAGUUUGCAGGACUGUAAGCAGAAAGCAGCUCUUUAACUUGCAGUACACAUGCUGAGUAUGCAGCCUGAUAGUGAUAGGCCAAGGAGGAAUGGCUUUAAAACAAAAGAGGGAAGAUUUAAGUUAGAUAUUAGGAGGAAAUUCUUGUCUGAGAGGGCAGUGAGGCGCUGGCACUGCUGCCCAGAGAGCUGUGGUGCCCCAUCUCUGGAGGUACUCAAGGCCGGGUUGGAUGGGGCCCUGGGCAGCCCGGGCUGGUGGGGGCAACCAACCAACGGCACAGGGACGGAACUGGAUGGGCUUUAAGGUCCCUUCUAACACAAGUCUUUCUAGGAUUCUAUGAUCAACACCUGGUUCUUACAAAAGGAGACUCCUUUGUGCUGUUUACCAGGCAGAUUUUCAGAUGAGAACCAUCCCAAUCACUUUUGUCCUCAUUAGUCUCUGCUACGCACAGCGUGCAACAGUCCCAGCCUGGGUGUCACUCAAGCUCCUCACUUAGGAGCAACCCUUUAGGCAUAAGCUUCACAUUAAUUUUUUUGCUGCCAUAUCAGAGGAAAUACAGAAACGCCAAUUGCCUUCUACCAGCUCUGGUAUAACUGAGAGCCCUCCUACUACAUAGGAAAAAAUAAUCUGUGUUUUGAAUUACUAUGUUUUACAGAUGUAUUAUCUUGCAUUUGUCAGGGUGACUCCUUUCGUUAUUUCCUGCCUCUCCUUUUUCAGCGGUGUUUGCAGUAUUCAUCCACAUCAUCUGCUAAUUUCAUUAGCAUAACUGUUUAAUGAUCUCGAAGGGGUUAGUUUAAAAUAUUAAAUAAAACCGGAUGUAAACUCCUCAUUCCUGCAGCAUCCCACCAACCCCCUCCCACUCAUCUCUGUACCCUACCAUUCAUCGAGACCUGUUUCUCAGGCUUCUGCAAGUCUUCUGUGAGAUUUCACACUGUGUUUGCAUGACAUGUCAUUAUCCCCACAAACUGCUGAAUCAUUGGUACUUAGUCACUUAGUCUGUGGUUGCCACUGGUUUUCCACUGAUUGCUACACUGUGCCUUUGAGGACUGAAUUAGAUUUCUCUGUAUCUUGACAACAAUGACAGUUUUGACCCAGUUGAGUGCUGAAUUAAGCAAUGGAGGCAAGGCUAUAGACACUUUCUUGUUACAAAUUUGCUGGAGGAUACACCAAAGUCAAUAAAUUACAGCAGCACAUAUUAUGCUAGUGAGCUGGAAACUUCGUAUUUUCCCUAAAAUGUUUUCACAAUAAAUUUAUAUUUUUAUUAGUCAACAACUCAAUGACUUCAUUAGAAUACCUAUAAAGACGCAUUGCAUUAUUAUAUGAAUAACCAAGGUGGAAAAAGCUGUAACAGCUUAGAGUCAUCAUUGAUAACAUUGCUUGAGGACGCUAUUUCGAAGAUGCUGACCUCUUUAUUUAGAAGAUUCCUGAUGUUAGCCUCUGCUUAGUCAGGUAAUUUCAGUUGAAGGGCCAGUUGCAAGCUACACACAAAUUUCAUCACAGAGCAGCAACCUUGCUGAUGCCUCAAGUCGUAGUGUUAGAAUACCAGAAGUUUGUUUUUUAGCUUUUAUUAGAAUCAUAUGUGAACUCCCAAUCUUUAUGCCUACUGUGGGAGCCCUUUUCUUGCAUAAACACUGUGAACUUUGAUUGCACUGCAUUAGAGAUGCCACCAAGUAACAAAGGAAGCAAACUAAACAGAAAAAUAUACACCCAGGCAGCAGAAAAAGGCUGUACUAAUGCCUACAGUUUUAUGUGGGCCAAGGAAGGAUGCCAAUAAUAUAGAGCCAGAAAAGUAGAGAGUAUUAUUACAGGAAAAAAAUCUCCAUAGCAGUACAAUUAAAAUUGUCUUAGGCACAGUUCCUAGUAGGUGUCCCUCUCACUCAUCUGCUGUCCCUUUUAUGAUGCACAAGAUGAUAGCUACAGUCUGAGGGGCAGUGGAGGAAAUAUCAUGUUGCAGGAAGCUGUAAGAACCCCUAGCUCUUUUCCAGGAGAUCAGUGUAUCACUGACGACAGUUGCUGCCUCACUCUACAGUAUACAUAGGAUUAUUUUUUACAUUUUGCAAGACACACUAAUCUUUUUCUUUUCGUUUGUUUCUCUACAGUUCUAUGUUACUGCCAGAUAUACUUCAUAUGGCCUGUUUUGUAUGUUAGACACUUGAUUUCUUUCCCUUUGUUAUGCUUAAAACCAGCACACCCCACUCCCAAGUUAGGUUCCUCUGUAUGACCAACAACUGACUACUGGUGGGUGUAGCCAUAUGUCCACACAGCCUCUGCCAUCACCCCAUGUCUGCACUUUGCUAUGUUGCAUAGUAAUUCCUGCAUCUAUAGCUCAUUCAGCACAGAAUAACCAUUUGUGAUCACUAUCUACCAGUUACAAAGCUACAAAUUUCUGAAUGUCAUCUCCAAGCAAUUGGAAGAGAAGAAGUUUAUCAGAAGUAGUUAACAUGGAUUCACUAAGGAGAAAUCAUGCUCGACCAAGCUGGUAACCUUCUAUGGUAUCAUCACCAGCUGGCUUAGAUGUGGGGAGAACAGUGGAUGUUGUGUACCUUGACUUCAGUAAGGCAUUUGACAAUGUCUCCCACAACAUCUUUGUAAUGAAGCUUAGAAAUUGUGGGAUAGAUGAAUGGGUGGAGAGAUGGACUGAGAACUGGCUGACCUUCAAGCUAAGCGUUAUGUACUCACCUACAUUCUUAAGCCACAGUAUUUGACUCUAGAGGGAAUGUAAAGUCAGCCACAAUGUAAUUCCUGUGAUCUUGACAAGCAUUAGUAUUGGGCUGGAAAAAUAAGACAAAAAUGAUUAUUUUUAAGUAAAAAUUUCUGGAGGCUAAUGGUAGAACCGAUGGUGAAGAGGAAAGCCAUACAAGAAACACUGCUGCUUCAAUUAUGCUUGAAACUUGAUCAUAUUUAGGGAACUCAGUGCGUGGGCAACGCAAUCACCACUGGCAAGGCAUCAACAGAUGUUAUGGCAGUAUCACAGCUUUCAGCAGUGUGAAUUUUGUAAUUCAGUCCUGGAGUGGUAAAUCAUCAGAUGUAUACUCAUAGGUGUAUGGUUAGCCCUACUACUAAUUCAUCAUAAAAAUAAGAUCAUAUAGAAGAUCUUAUUUUUAAUUACAGAAGGACAAUUAAAGGAAGUGAGAAUUCAAGAUCAAAGCACCUAACUGGGACAUGCUGGAAAUAUGUUCAGAAUGUGGAGUACUGAAAUGCUAGGCACAAGGAUGUGCUGAGGUCUCCCACAUCAAACACUGCUCAUGUCAGAAGGAUUCCGGCUGGACACAAAGGGACAAAGACAAUAAAGAAAUCCUUAAAGCAAAGACAUGAGGGAAAUUUCUAGGAAAGUCAGCUAUUUUUCCAAACAUUUCUGAGCAGAUUUAUUAGAAGCUUAUGGACCCUUAGGAAAAUUACUGAAGAAAAGCAUUAUUAAGAAAAACAUUUCCUUCUCAUACAUAUGGGAAACCUUAUGGAUCUGCCACUAACCAGCAAUUUCAGUUCUUCAGCUGAAUGAGGAGAGAACACAUUAGUUAUAUUCCCCUGACAACUGGAAGCUGUAAAAAGCUGCAGGCACUUGGGGAUCAAGAGAAAAUUCAAAACAAACUUAACGAUAUGGAGAUAUAUUCUGAGGAAAUACAAUUAAACUUUGUACAAAGGACGAAAUGCAAUACUUAAGAAUCAUAUGUAGAUGCUAGACUGGCUGGACAGCAACCCUGUAGAAGAGGUUCUAGAGUCUGGGGGAGGAUUACGAACUGAACACAGAUCAGUAAUGCCAAGCUGCAGAGGAAUAUGUAAUGAGACAUGCAAACAUUUUUCCUGUUUACUCAGCUGUUCUAAUAAAGUAGCUGUAUCUAAAAUACUGAAUAUGUGGUGAGCAAUACAUUUCAAGAAGCAUGUGGACAAUCUGAACAAGGCAGAGAAAAGCAAGGAAAUGGUAUGUCAGAAAACAUACAUUGAAGGAAAGCUACAAAAGUAAGAUAGUAGAAGAUAGUAGAACUCAAAUAUAAUUAAAAGGUGCUACAGAGGGGAAGAUCAUGCACUGAAAAAUGAAGCACUGGAACAGGUUGCUUAGGGAGAUCGUAGAAUUUAUAUUUAAAAGAGCUGAUGAGAAUAUUUAAAGAGCUGAUCCAAUAAACUUGCCAGAACUGGUCUUGGGUCAAAGAUGGUCUACAUAACUUCUCAAGGACCCAUCUAGUUGAGUUUGUCCACUGCAGGUAUGGAAUAUCUAUUGCAUCUAUUAUUCCAUGACACAUCAAGGGAAGGCCAACGCCCACCUACAGCAUUACAUCUUUGAAAAACUAAGAAGUCUUAAGUACUAGCUGUGACAUACAAUAGUCCUGCAUAAAUCCAUAUAAUAAACACCAUAUUAUACCUAAGGUUAAACAACAACAACAACAACAAAGAUGCUGGCUAUGCUUUCUGCAUCAGUCUUCCUCUGAGUAAUCUCUCAGAGUAAGAUGAAUAUGCUGCCUGACUAUCAGCCAUUAGAAAAUAUAAAAGUGCCGAGCCCCUCAACUAAUACAUAGAUUAUGGAGAUUCUAACAGGAUGACCGUAGUAUAGAACACUGUUGCCAAGUGUGAGACUGUCAGCAUGCCCCAAUACCUCUGUACAUAGGAUGGGAAGCUUUUACAACCAAAGUGUAUUGCAACUAGAAUGAUUUGCUACAGACAGGGAAAUAUCUUGUAUUUCAGACUGUCCAGACUCUAUGAAGCAAUUAGUUACUGCUGUCCUACAAGACAGAGAAAGCACAUAUUGUAUAUAAAAUUAUAUUUAAAAUUAUAUUUAAAUUAUCUAAAACCUUUCCAGAUUUAAAAACUGAAGUAAUAAGAUGAUUCCAUGCUUCACUGCCAGGCAAGCUGGACAUCUUUGCUGUACAACUCCCUAACACUUCAUUUACAUGUUUACAUUUACAUUCAUGAAUUGGUGCAACAGAUGAGAAGAACUUGGGGAUCAGCAACAGAGGACAGAGCCUCAAAAAGUUCUAGUCUGUUCAUUUUUAAUGACUCUAACUGUGUGACUUUCGGUAAGUUCUUAUUGUUGAGAGGCAGGCCUGGAGAAGAUACUUGGACAUUUAACAUGACCAAGAAACAUGAGAGGGAUUUUGCAAUACUGUUGUGACCAACAGGCCACAAUAAAGACAUCAAAUUUCAAAUGAUUCAGUAUUAAAUGGAGAGCUACAGAUGUCUCAAGUUGGAUACUCACAAAGUCAUCAGAGGUCAAAGAAAUGAAUGGACAAAGAUCCGGCCAAGAGGAUGGCAAUUCUCAAUAAUGCCACUCAUUGCAAAACACUCCUCAGGGUUCAGCAGAGAUCGAACUGAUAGAUUAAAGAGUUAUGGUUCUUCUUCCCAUAAGAAAUACAUUUCUACAGCCCAACAGAGAAAAGCAGGCAUGACAAAAACCACCAAACUAGAUAUAUAAACAAGAGCAAAUAGCCAGAGAUCUUUGUGCAUAAAUUCAUAGUUCUCACUAACAAUCACAAAACAAACAAACAAAACAAAACAAAACAAACAAACAAACAAAGAGAGAGAGAGAGAGAGAGAGAGAAGCAAGUAUAAUCUUCAGUAAAUAAUAGGUCAUAGGAAGUACCUUUGCAGAGAAGAACUCAAGCAACAAUAAAAUAGUGGCAAACAGGGAGAGAAAGUGGUAGCACUCAACUACAGUCUUAGCAAUCACCUGGUCUGUUGCAAUAGUUGUUAAAAAUAAGACAUGUAAGCGAUACGAGAGAGAGUGUAAGACCACUACAGCAACAGCAACAGUACAAACAGGGAAUGUGAAUCUGGGCUGCCCACUAGCUGGUGGGCUGCAAUGAUCCGGACAGAAAAAUCCUUGCCCUAUGGACAGGCGCGUAGUACUGAAUGAGUCACUAGCAUGAAUGACAGAAGGGUAGGAAAUGCUGUAAGGAAACAUAUAGAAGCUGCACAGAAUAUGAAGGGAGAUAUUUAGGCUUGGAGAAGACACCUCUGUAAGGACAUCUCCUAUGAAAGCAAGAAAAAAGGCAAAGAAACAAAGCCCUCGUUUCAGAAAUGUUAAAACCAAAGUCUGUCUAGUCUCUGGCUACAUUAACACACAAUAUGGACAUAGAGGAGACCAAGAUAACAACUUGGCAAUGACUGAGACCUAAGUCUUGGGUAAAGUUUAAAAGAAAACUAGGUUCAUAAAAAUAAAUAAGUAGUGUUUCAUGUUCCACUUCACAUGCAGAAUUGCAUCUUUCAGUACUAAUAUUUAAUCAUGUUACUAUUUUCCCUUGGACAGUUCAAAAAUGUUAGUCACAGCUUGUUAUACCAUGUAUGGUCAAGUAGAGUGUUCCUAUCUCCUUCCCCACCACAUUAUCACUGAACUGUUCAAUAUGAAAAACUGCUUUUAAAAAUGCCUUAACAUUUGUUUUGUUGGUGAACAUGCUGCAGAGGUUCCAUAUAAGGACUACGGGAAAUAAACCAAGCCAGGAAUUAAAGUACAAGAGUAAGUAGAAUAAGUUAGUUCUAAAAUUUUUAAAUACACUUCUAAACAAACAUCGUUUAAAAUUUGAGGCUGCUAAAACAGUCACUCAAGACAAUUGGGAAAUUAAUCACUGUAAGUAACAACAAACUCUUAAAAAAUUCUUACAGGACUUCUGCAAGGCUCAUUUGCACGACUCAUUCUAAGAAUUAGGAAACAAGAUAUAGCUGAUCUGAAUAAAUAACAUAAAAGGAGAAGCUCCCCUCAAGCUUGGAGAGUUGUUACAGCAUUUUUCCUCACCCACCUCUCCCUCCAGCUUUGCUCCUUACUAAGCCACACUGCCUCAGUAAACAACUUCUAACAAGAUAAAUGCUAACUGUUAGUACUCAUCCUAAAACCAUGGGCAUACUUUUACAAACAUUUACAAAUCUUAUUCAACAUUUCAUUUUAAAAAAAAUAGGAUAAUAUUUUACCUUCUAGUACAUUAUAUGUAUGAAAAAAAAGAAUUAAAAUAUCCUCAAAUGAAACCAUGUUGUUUAAUUGCUGAGGGGAACACUGCACAGGAAGGCCUUUAGCAGCUCUAACAACAGCUGCUCUUCAUCUGGCACUUCUUUUUCCUCCUCCGUUUAAUGCUUACCUAGGUAUUAAGCCCAUCAUUCUGCAUAUCACAACUGUAGCUGUAAACUAAGCACUUAUUUGCUAUUCUAGAUAAAUAUGAACUAAAACAUUUUUUUACAAGGGACAAAGACAAGUUGUGGAUUAUUUAAUGUGGCUGCACUAUUAUCAAAACACCACACCAAGUGAAAGCAGUGAAAAUAUUUCCUUUUGGGAAUGUUACACCAAUGCUCGUGAUACUCUUUGAGGUUAAGCUUACUUAUCUCUAAUGUAUAAAAAUAAUACAAGAAAAAGAUAAGCUUGAAAAAGAAAAUCAUACAAUGAAAUUGUGAUGCAGAACAAUGCUUUUUUAAAAGCUAUCUAAGCUCUGCCGACAAUAUCGGGACCACAUGUUCUGAGUUAGGAAGGUGAUGAAGUGCUUGCUAAAUAUAGCCUUAAAUUAUGCUUUCAGAAUCUAUUCAUAAUCAAGAAAGCUUGAUUUUGUAUGAUGUCUACUGCUCUGUGCUCUUAGUAGAAAUGCAGAGUACUUGUUAUUUUCCAUGCUAUUGUAAUCACAGUACUUACUGUAUUGUAUAUUACUGCAUAAACGUCUAAAACUAACCCAGGUUCUCUAAAGCACAUUAGUUUUAAAUGUCCUUCACUUUAAGACAUUCAUCAGUUCUAUGUUAACAUUGAACACACACUUAAAAAACUCCAACACUUUAUAAAGGAUAGUAUCAGUUUUCAGAGAGUGUGAGCUAAAGUAUACAUAAUUCAGGCAUACAACAAUAUCUACUUC